AGCUGGGAGAGCGCUUGCAUGGCAUGCAAGAGGUCAGCGGUUCGAUCCCGCUUACCUCCACCA
This 63-nucleotide transfer RNA is filed under the name Massilia sp. Root335. Its description in RNAcentral is "tRNA-Ser". It matches the Rfam family "tRNA", at positions 14 to 71 of the family's 71-position model. Rfam says of the family: Transfer RNA (tRNA) molecules are approximately 80 nucleotides in length. The record is from RNAcentral. Lineage: Bacteria; Pseudomonadati; Pseudomonadota; Betaproteobacteria; Burkholderiales; Oxalobacteraceae.